This 900-nucleotide ribosomal RNA is filed under the name Alteromonadales bacterium U-2-23. RNAcentral's name for it is "bacterial SSU rRNA". It matches the Rfam family "Bacterial small subunit ribosomal RNA", at positions 45 to 940 of the family's 1533-position model. The record is from RNAcentral. Lineage: Bacteria; Pseudomonadati; Pseudomonadota; Gammaproteobacteria; Alteromonadales.
GGCUUACACAUGCAAGUCGAACGGUAACAGAAAGUAGCUUGCUACUUUGCUGACGAGUGGCGGACGGGUGAGUAAUGCUUGGGAAUAUGCCUUAUGGUGGGGGACAACAGUUGGAAACGACUGCUAAUACCGCAUAACAUCUCCGGAUCAAAGUGGGGGACCUUCGGGCCUCACGCCAUAAGAGUAGCCCAAGUGGGAUUAGCUAGUUGGUAAGGUAAUGGCUUACCAAGGCGACGAUCCCUAGUUGGUCUUAGAGGAUGACCAGCCACACUGGAACUGAGACACGGUCCAGACUCCUACGGGAGGCAGCAGUGGGGAAUAUUGCACAAUGGGCGCAAGCCUGAUGCAGCCAUGCCGCGUGUGUGAAGAAGGCUUUCGGGUUGUAAAGCACUUUCAGCGAGGAGGAAAGGGUGUUAGUUAAUAUCUAGCAUCUGUGACGUUACUCGCAGAAGAAGCACCGGCUAACUCCGUGCCAGCAGCCGCGGUAAUACGGAGGGUGCGAGCGUUAAUCGGAAUUACUGGGCGUAAAGCGCGCGUAGGCGGUUAAUUAAGUCAGAUGUGAAAUCCCAGGGCUCAACCUUGGAACUGCAUUUGAAACUGGUUAACUAGAGUUUUGUAGAGGGUGGUAGAAUUUCAGGUGUAGCGGUGAAAUGCGUAGAGAUCUGAAGGAAUACCAGUGGCGAAGGCGGCCACCUGGACAAAGACUGACGCUGAGGCGCGAAGGCGUGGGGAGCAAACGGGAUUAGAUACCCCGGUAGUCCACGCAGUAAACGAUGUCUAUUAGAAUUUUGUGGCUAUAUGCCGUGGGAUUCAAAGCUAACGCAUUAAAUAGACGCCUGGGGAGUACGGCCGCAAGGUUAAACUCAAUGAAUUGACGGGGCCGCACAAGCGGUGGAGCAU